CAAGAAGCGCCGAAAGGCUGCUUUACAACCAUAGCGAACCUAUCCUUCAGCGUUGCUUCGGCGGGUAGCUCGCCCCCCUCGGGGGCCGGGGCGCGGCUGGCCUCGGCCGCCGCCCGCCGGACGGUACGAAACUCUUUAUAAUGCUAGAAUCUCUGAGUAUACAAGCAAAUAAGUCAAAACUUUCAACAACGGAUCUCUUGGUUCUGGCAUCGAUGAAGAACGCAGCGAAAUGCGAUAAGUAAUGUGAAUUGCAGAAUUCAGUGAAUCAUCGAAUCUUUGAACGCACAUUGCGCCCGCCAGUACUCUGGCGGGCAUGCCUGUUCGAGCGUCAUUUCAACCCUCAAGCCCUGCUUGGUGUUGGGGCCCUGCGGCUGCCGCAGGCCCUGAAAUGAAGUGGCGGGCUCGCUGCAACCCUCCGAGCGUAGUAGUUUCUAUUCUCGCUAGGGAGGCGCGGCGCGCUCCGGCCGUUAAAGAACCCAUUCUUUAGCGCAAGGUUGACCUCGGAUCAGGUAGGAAUACCCGCUGAACUUAAGCAUAUCAAUAAGCGGAGGAAUCGUACGCUUGGUCAUUUAGAGGAAGUAAAAGUCGUAACAAGGUUUCCGUAGAUGAACCUGCGGAAGGAUCAUUCAUAAUAAGUGUUUUAUGGCACUUUUUAAAUCCAUAUCCACCUUGUGUGCAAUGUCAGUCGAUCUUCUUCAUGGAGAUUGACCAAACAUCAACCUUUAUUUUUUAACUCUUUGUCUGAAAAAUAUUAUGAAUAAACAAUUCAAAAUA
RNAcentral lists this unclassified non-coding RNA (774 nucleotides) under soil metagenome. Its description in RNAcentral is "partial contains internal transcribed spacer 1, 5.8S ribosomal RNA, and internal transcribed spacer 2". The stretch from base 178 to 331 matches the Rfam family "5.8S ribosomal RNA". The record is from RNAcentral.